GUGAAUCAUCGAAUUUUUGAACGCAAAUUGCGCUAUCCUCGGAGAGUAUGCCUGUUUGAGGGUCAGCCUAAAAAAAAAUGGACAUCGUCGCUGUUUCGCGGUGAUGUGAGUCGGAAAUUGGGCCAUCUUAAACCUUUUGGUUUUUAAGCGACUUAAAAUUUUCUUUUGACUCCAUGAAUGUUUCUAAGAUUUAUAUCUUUACACAUUUAAGGGUAUCGAUUUUAUUAGACUUGGCGUUUAUAUCGGAG
This 248-nucleotide unclassified non-coding RNA is filed under the name Glomus sp. Its description in RNAcentral is "partial contains 5.8S ribosomal RNA and internal transcribed spacer 2". The stretch from base 1 to 65 matches the Rfam family "5.8S ribosomal RNA", at positions 84 to 154 of the family's 154-position model. Lineage: Eukaryota; Fungi; Glomeromycota; Glomeromycetes; Glomerales; Glomeraceae. The record is from RNAcentral.